UUUGGUGUUCAUAGCGAUAUGGAUCACCUGUUCCCAUUCCGAACACAGAAGUUAAGCAUAUCAGCGGCGAAAAUAGCACUAUGUGCAAAAAUAGCACAAUGCCAAAG
This 107-nucleotide ribosomal RNA is filed under the name Spiroplasma platyhelix PALS-1. Lineage: Bacteria; Bacillati; Mycoplasmatota; Mollicutes; Entomoplasmatales; Spiroplasmataceae. The record is from RNAcentral.